AUUGAACGCUGGCGGCAUGCCUUACACAUGCAAGUCGAACGCGAAAGGGGGCAACCCUGAGUAGAGUGGCGAACGGGUGAGUAAUGCAUCGGAACAUUUCCUGUAGUGGGGGAUAACCUCGAGAAAUCGAGGCUAAUACCGCGUACGUCCUACGGGAGAAAGCGGGGGAUCGCAAGACCUCGCGCUAUAGGAGUGGCCGAUGCCGGAUUAGCUAGUUGGCGGGGUAAAAGCCCACCAAGGCGACGAUCCGUAGCUGGUCUGAGAGGAUGAUCAGCCACACUGGGACUGAGACACGGCCCAGACUCCUACGGGAGGCAGCAGUGGGGAAUUUUGGACAAUGGGCGCAAGCCUGAUCCAGCCAUGCCGCGUGAGUGAAGAA
RNAcentral lists this ribosomal RNA (379 nucleotides) under uncultured bacterium. Its description in RNAcentral is "bacterial SSU rRNA". It matches the Rfam family "Bacterial small subunit ribosomal RNA", at positions 29 to 412 of the family's 1533-position model. The record is from RNAcentral.